AUGCAGAGGAACCUGGGAGCUGUGCUGGGGAUUCUGUGGGUGCAGAUUUGCUGGGUGAGAGGAGAUCAGGUGGAGCAGAGUCCUUCAGCCCUGAGCCUCCACGAGGGAACCGGUUCUGCUCUGAGAUGCAAUUUUACUACCACCAUGAGGGCUGUGCAGUGGUUCCGAAAGAAUUCCAGGGGCAGCCUCAUCAAUCUGUUCUACUUGGCUUCAGGAACAAAGGAGAAUGGGAGGCUAAAGUCAGCAUUUGAUUCUAAGGAGCGCUACAGCACCCUGCACAUCAGGGAUGCCCAGCUGGAGGACUCAGGCACUUACUUCUGUGCUGCUGAGG
This is a non-coding RNA of Mus musculus (house mouse), 331 nucleotides long. NCBI's taxonomy places the organism in Eukaryota, Metazoa, Chordata, Mammalia, Rodentia, Muridae. The record is from the annotation of a RefSeq genome assembly.